Molecule: ribosomal RNA, 1188 nt
Filed under: Bifidobacterium sp. wkB344
Lineage: Bacteria; Bacillati; Actinomycetota; Actinomycetes; Bifidobacteriales; Bifidobacteriaceae
Description: partial 23S ribosomal RNA
Rfam family: Bacterial large subunit ribosomal RNA
Source: RNAcentral
GUGGCGAGGCUAACCCGUGUGGGGCAGCCGUAGCGAAAGCGAGUCCGAUAAGGGCGUUCCAGUCGCGUGUCCUGGACCCGAAGCGGGAUGAUCUAGCCCUGGGCAGGUUGAAGCGCGGGUAAGACCGCGUGGAGGACCGAACGGACCUGGGUUGAAAACCGGGCCGAUGACCUGGGGCUAGGGGUGAAAGGCCAAUCAAAUUCCGUGAUAGCUGGUUCUCUCCGAAAUGCAUUUCGGUGCAGCGUCGCGUGAGUGCCUCCAUGGGGUAGAGCUACUGGAUGCUUGAGGGCCCGUAUCGGGUACCGACAGCAGCCAAACUCCGAAUACGUGUGAGGUGUAUCGCGGCCGUGAGUCGGCGGGGGAUAAGCUCCGUCGUCGAGAGGGAGACAGCCCAGAUCGUCGUCUAAGGUCCCUAAGCGCGUGCUAAGUGGGAAAGGAUGUGGAGUCGCAUAGACAGCCAGGAGGUUGGCUCAGAAGCAGCCAUCCUUGAAAGAGUGCGUAACAGCUCACUGGUCUAGUGGUUCCGCGCCGAUAAUGUAGCGGGGCUCAAGCACGCCACCGAAGACGCGGCAGCGCAGUUUGCUGUGCUGGGUAGGAGAGCGUUCCGCGUGGGGCGAAGCGGCGGCGUGAGCCGGCCGUGGACCGCGUGGAAGUGAGAAUGCAGACAUGAGUAGCGAGAGGCGGGUGAGAAUCCCGUCCGCUGGAUGACCAAGGGUUCCGGGGCCACGUUCGUCGUCCCCGGGUGAGUCGGGUCCUAAGGCGAGGCCGACAGGCGUAGUCGAAUGGAUGAAGGAGUCGAUAUUCUCCUACCGGCGUCAAGCCGUCCAAUCCAAGACGUGGAAGCGUGCCCUUACCUGUGUCGGGUGAUGGUCUUCGGACCGUCCGAUGGCAUGGGACCGGCGUGUGGAUGCGUGGCGGGUAGCGCGGGAGUGACACGGAACGGGAGCCGGGCCGCGGUGGUGGUUAUCCGUGGUCAAGCAUGCGGCGCGUCGGGCAGGCAAAUCCGCCCGGCAUGAGCGCGAGGUGUGAUGAUGGGGGGUCUUGUGCCCCGAAUCCGGUGUGCCGUUCCGUCGAGAAAAGCUUCGGCGUGAGGAGUGGCGCCGCCCGUACCCUAAACCGACACUGGUGGUCAGGUAGAGUAUACCAAAGCGAUCGAGCGAAUCCUGGUCAAGGAACUCGGCAAAUCAC